This 253-nucleotide ribosomal RNA is filed under the name uncultured bacterium. Its description in RNAcentral is "partial 16S ribosomal RNA". It matches the Rfam family "Bacterial small subunit ribosomal RNA", at positions 524 to 776 of the family's 1533-position model. The record is from RNAcentral.
GACGGAAGGUGCAAGCGUUGCUCGGAAUCACUGGGCGUAAAGGGUGCGUAGGCGGCCGUGCAAGUCUGGCGUGAAAGCCCCGGGCUCAGCCCGGGAAGUGCGCUCGAAACUGCGCGGCUCGAGUGCCGGAGGGGAGAGUGGAAUUCCCGGUGUAGCGGUGAAAUGCGUUGAUAUCAUCAGGAACACCGGUGGCGAAAGCGGCUUACUGGGUCUCUUCUGACGCUGAGAAACGAAAGCUAGGGUAGCGAAGGGG